AUGUCUCCACUUAGCUGGAUUUUCCUUGUUGCAAUUUUAAAAGGUGUCCAGUGUGAGGUGCCACUGGUGGAGUCUGGGGGAGACCUGAGGCAACCUGGGGGAUCUCUGAAGCUCUCCUGUUUAGCCUCUGGGUUCACCUUCAGUAAUGCUUGGAUGCACUGGGUUCGCCAAGCUCCAGAAAAGGGACUGGAAUGGGUCUCACGUAUUAGUAAGAGUGGGGGUACAAGCUAUGCAGAUUCUGUAAAGGGCCGAUUCACCAUCUCCAGAGACAAUGCCAAGAACAUGCUGUAUCUGCAGAUGGACAGUCUGAAAACAGAGGACACAGCAGACACAGUGAGGGAAAGUCACCCUGACAAAAACCUCUCUCUGUGGGAGCUGAGAGCAAAGGACUCAGAUCCAGGAGCAGGUGUAGAUGUGAGUUAA
This is a non-coding RNA of Elephantulus edwardii (Cape elephant shrew), 423 nucleotides long. The record is from the annotation of a RefSeq genome assembly. Lineage: Eukaryota; Metazoa; Chordata; Mammalia; Macroscelidea; Macroscelididae.